Molecule: ribosomal RNA, 253 nt
Filed under: uncultured bacterium
Lineage: Bacteria
Description: partial 16S ribosomal RNA
Rfam family: Bacterial small subunit ribosomal RNA
Source: RNAcentral
UACGUAGGGACCAAGCGUUGUUCGGAUUUACUGGGCGUAAAGGGCGCGUAGGCGGCAAUUCAAGUCAGCUGUGAAAUCUCCGGGCUUAACUCGGAACGGUCAGCUGAUACUGCUUUGCUAGAGUGCAGAAGGGGCAAUCAGAAUUCCUGGUGUAGCGGUGAAAUGCGCAGAUAUCAGGAGGAACACCGGUGGCGAAGGCGGGUCUCUGGGCCGUAACUGACGCUGAGGAGCGAAAGCGUGGGGAGCGAACAGG